CCUACGGGAGGCAGCAGUAGGGAAUAUUGCUCAAUGGGGGAAACCCUGAAGCAGCAACGCCGCGUGGAGGAUGAAGGUUUUCGGAUUGUAAACUCCUUUUGAUAGAGAAGAUAAUGACGGUAUCUAACGAAUAAGCACCGGCUAACACCGUGCCAGCAGCCGCGGUAAUACGGAGGGUGCAAGCGUUACUCGGAAUCACUGGGCGUAAAGAGGGCGUAGGCGGGAUAGCAAGUCAGAUGUGAAAUCCUAUGGCUUAACCAUAGAACUGCAGUUGAAACUGUUAUUCUAGAGUAUGGGAGAGGUAGGUGGAAUUCUUGGUGUAGGGGUAAAAUCCGUAGAGAUCAAGAGGAAUACUCAUUGCGAAGGCGACCUGCUAGAACAUAACUGACGCUGAUGCGCGAAAGCGUGGGGAGCAAACAGGAUUAGAUACCCCUGUAGUC
Molecule: ribosomal RNA, 440 nt
Filed under: uncultured bacterium
Lineage: Bacteria
Description: partial 16S ribosomal RNA
Rfam family: Bacterial small subunit ribosomal RNA
Source: RNAcentral